Daucus carota subsp. sativus is the source of this 936-nucleotide long non-coding RNA. RefSeq lists it as uncharacterized. The transcript has 3 exons. Lineage: Eukaryota; Viridiplantae; Streptophyta; Magnoliopsida; Apiales; Apiaceae. The record is from RefSeq and is a predicted model, not a curated record.
UUACUGGAUACAUUAUUGUUUGAAGAUUGAAGCUCAAAACGACCAUCACUCAGGCUAGAAAGGGGAGAUUCGAGUUGGACGAUUCAGGCUAGAAAAACUCUCGAGCUCCAAGAUUCAAGCGCAAAAAAUCGCUCAAUUGCUAGGACAAUAUUCAAGAUCAAAGGUGAUUUAGGGUUUUAUUUUGAUAUGAAUAUCGAUUCAGGGUGCAUCAUCAUGUCUAACUCUGUUCCGACUUUCAUCAGUUAGUGAUAGUAGUUAUAUCACGUUAAAUGAGCAAGCUCUCUUAAAGAGACCAACUUUCUGAUUUUAAUUAGUUAGAAGACAAACCAAGUGCAGGUAACCCAAGCCUCAGCUCAGUCUCAUUAAGGUUGUUUUUUCCUUGUUAUUAGUUGAAACAUCAGAUGAGGAGAGCUUAUAAUAAGUUUCCAUAAGUCCUGAUAAAUCUAUGUUAUCAACUGUCCAAUGAUUCCGUCUCUCUUGUGUUUGUGUACUAGUUGUCCAUAGAGGUGUAAAUUACACUUUCUUUUGUAUCGUUUAGAAUUCUGCCUAAGAAAGUAUUGCAGCUACAACUAAUUUGUAUAUAUGCACCAUGUAGAAGUGGUAUAGAAACAAGAGCAUUUGUACAUUCAAGGGUUACCUGGUUUUUUGAUGUUAGCCUAGAAUUUAUCAGUUAAUUCCAGGAACUGGUACUCUCACUUUGUAUACUUAUCUGUACCACUCAUCUGUUAUGUCGAGAUGUCUUUCCUUUCAAAUUAUGUUUACUCUGAUUUUGCCGCCCCCUAAUUGAAAGUUUCAGCUUGUAUAUGCUCUGUUACGUGAACUUAAUAGAUCAGUACUUUCAUAAUCUAAACAUGUCUCGAGCGUUUGCAGUAAGCUAAUUUAUGUUCUCCUAAGUUUUAGCUGGAAAGGUAUCUAUUGUUUUUAAUUUAUUUUCCU